UUGAAAGGGAAACGAUUGAAGUCAGUCGUACCUGCGGGUAAUCAGCCUUUUGGGCAUGAUUCUGUGGAGCGUGAGGAGUUAAACGCCUUCAUGCCUGCAUAUUCGUGUACUUUGGGUGUACUUGCCUGUGUGGUUAGUUAACAUCAAUUUUGGUUAUCAUAAAAUGGUUGGAGGAAUGUAGCUUCGAUUUCGAUUGAAGUGUUAUAGCCUUCGGCAGAUGUGAUGAUCGGGAUUGAGGAUUGCGACGGAUACCCUUCGGGGCUACCUGUCUGGUCUCUGAUCGUUGCUUUGGUGCCGAAAGCGUGCUUACGGUUAUCAAAGUCGAUGGUCAAUAGGUUAGAACGUGAUUACAUUCGUUAAGGAUGUUGACGUA
Molecule: ribosomal RNA, 373 nt
Filed under: uncultured Glomeromycotina
Lineage: Eukaryota; Fungi; Glomeromycota
Description: eukaryotic LSU rRNA
Source: RNAcentral